UCUCCUGGAAACGGGUGGUAAUGCCGGAUGCUCCAGUUGACCGCAUGGUCCUCUGGGAAAGCUUUUGCGGUAUGGGAUGGGGUCGCGUCCUAUCAGCUUGAUGGCGGGGUAACGGCCCACCAUGGCUUCGACGGGUAGCCGGCCUGAGAGGGCGACCGGCCACAUUGGGACUGAGAUACGGCCCAGACUCCUACGGGAGGCAGCAGUGGGGAAUAUUGCACAAUGGGCGCAAGCCUGAUGCAGCGACGCCGCGUGCGGGAUGACGGCCUUCGGGUUGUAAACCGCUUUUGACUGGGAGCAAGCCCUUCGGGGUGAGUGUACCUUUCGAAUAAGCACCGGCUAACUACGUGCCAGCAGCCGCGGUAAUACGUAGGGUGCAAGCGUUAUCCGGAAUUAUUGGGCGUAAAGGGCUCGUAGGCGGUUCGUCGCGUCCGGUGUGAAAGUCCAUCGCUUAACGGUGGAUCCGCGCCGGGUACGGGCGGGCUUGAGUGCGGUAGGGGAGACUGGAAUUCCCGGUGUAACGGUGGAAUGUGUAGAUAUCGGAAAAAAACACCAC
RNAcentral lists this ribosomal RNA (556 nucleotides) under Bifidobacterium adolescentis. Its description in RNAcentral is "partial 16S ribosomal RNA". It matches the Rfam family "Bacterial small subunit ribosomal RNA", at positions 146 to 712 of the family's 1533-position model. The record is from RNAcentral. Lineage: Bacteria; Bacillati; Actinomycetota; Actinomycetes; Bifidobacteriales; Bifidobacteriaceae.